This 404-nucleotide ribosomal RNA is filed under the name Scleroderma dictyosporum. RNAcentral's name for it is "LSU rRNA". It matches the Rfam family "Bacterial large subunit ribosomal RNA", at positions 1720 to 2104 of the family's 2925-position model. Lineage: Eukaryota; Fungi; Basidiomycota; Agaricomycetes; Boletales; Sclerodermataceae. The record is from RNAcentral.
AAUUAUCCUCAUAAGUUCGUCAAUAAGAGGAACCACUUUCUAAUAUUUAAACUCCUGUUAAAAUUAGUUUUAAAAAAGUGGUGGCACAAAAUCGGAAGCCCCGACUGUUUACUAAAAACACAGCUAUCUGCAAUGAUGUAAAUCAUAGUAUAGGUAGUGAGGUUUGCCCAAUGCCAUCAGCAUAAGAAACGUAAUGGGAAACUGUUAAAUAUCGAAAGCCUGGUUAAUAGCGGUCUUAACCAUGAGGAUCCUAAGGUAGCAAAAUAAAUUGGCCAUUAAAUGUGGUCCGGUAUCAAUAAUUUAACGAUGGCUUCACUGUCUCUACAACUUGCUCAGUGAAAUUGAAUUGUGAGUGCAGAUGCUCACUACUCGCAGGGGGACGGGAAGACCCUAUGCACUUUUAC